CAGCCAGGUGAGUGCUCUACGGGCCACCGGCUGUGACCCCGGGAGCCACGGUGCUGUCUGUCUCCAGAAAACACUUGACGGAUGGAGGAAGCAUCUGAGACUAAGACCAUGGCUGUUCCCAGGAUUGUCACGGGGCAGAACACUGCGGCCAACCCCUCACACACUGGAGGUUGCACCACGGCUGGAGAGCAGGUGAACCUUUGCACAAACAAGGUUCAUCGUUGUAUCCUCAGUACCUGGCAGAGUCCCUGGCGUGUGCUUGCGUGAGGUCACCUGGAAAGCCGUUAAAACGAGUUGUCGGCGGGGGGCCAACGAUGAUGUGCUGGUU
Molecule: long non-coding RNA, 328 nt
Organism: Tupaia belangeri chinensis (Chinese tree shrew)
Lineage: Eukaryota; Metazoa; Chordata; Mammalia; Scandentia; Tupaiidae
Exons: 3
Source: RefSeq, a predicted model, not a curated record